This 508-nucleotide ribosomal RNA is filed under the name uncultured bacterium. Its description in RNAcentral is "partial 16S ribosomal RNA". It matches the Rfam family "Bacterial small subunit ribosomal RNA", at positions 28 to 507 of the family's 1533-position model. The record is from RNAcentral.
GACGAACGCUGGCGGCGUGCCUAAUACAUGCAAGUCGAACGCUUCUUUCCUCCCGAGUGCUUGCACUCAAUUGGAAAGCGGAGUGGCGGACGGGGGAGUAACACGUCGGUAACCUACCCAUCAGCGGGGGAGAACACCUGGAAACAGGAGCUAAUACCGCAUAACAGUGUAUGCCGCAUGGCAUAAGAGUGAAAGGCGCUUUCGGGUGUCGCUGAUGGAUGGACCCGCGGUGCAUUAGCUAGUUGUUGCGGUAACGGGUCACCAUGGCCACGAUGCAUAGCCGACCUGGGAGAGUGAUCGGCUACACUUGUUCGGCGACCCGGCCCCGACUCCCACGGGUGGCAGCAGCCGGGCAUCCUCGCCACUGCACGCAAGUCUGACCGAGCAACGCCGCGUGAGUGCAGAGGGUUUCCGUAUCGUAAACCUCUGUUGUUAGUGAAUAUCAGGGACGUUAGUAACUGAACGUCCCCUGACGGUAUCUAGCCAGACACCCCCGCCUAACUACGUC